Molecule: ribosomal RNA, 509 nt
Filed under: uncultured bacterium
Lineage: Bacteria
Description: bacterial SSU rRNA
Rfam family: Bacterial small subunit ribosomal RNA
Source: RNAcentral
AGAGUUUGAUCAUGGCUCAGGACGAACGCUGGCGGCGUGCUUAACACAUGCAAGUCGAACGGUGACGAUUGGAGCUUGCUCUGAUCUGAUCAGUGGCGAACGGGUGAGUAACACGUGAGUAACCUGCCCCAGACUCUGGAAUAACCCCGGGAAACCGGAGCUAAUACCGGAUACGAAACGGAGCCGCAUGGCUACUGUUUGGAAAGUUUUUCGGUCUGGGAUGGACUCGCGGCCUAUCAGCUUGUUGGUGAGGUAAUGGCUCACCAAGGCGACGACGGGUAGCCGGCCUGAGAGGGCGACCGGCCACACUGGGACUGAGACACGGCCCAGACUCCUACGGGAGGCAGCAGUGGGGAAUAUUGCACAAUGGGCGAAAGCCUGAUGCAGCGACGCCGCGUGAGGGAUGACGGCCUUCGGGUUGUAAACCUCUUUCAGCAGGGAAGAAGCGAAAGUGACGGUACCUGCAGAAGAAGCACCGGCUAACUACGUGCCAGCAGCCGCGGUAAUAC